Molecule: ribosomal RNA, 459 nt
Filed under: uncultured bacterium
Lineage: Bacteria
Description: partial 16S ribosomal RNA
Rfam family: Bacterial small subunit ribosomal RNA
Source: RNAcentral
CCUACGGGUGGCAGCAGUGAGGAAUAUUGGUCAAUGGGCGAGAGCCUGAACCAGCCAAGUCGCGUGAGGGAGUACUGCCCUAUGGGUUGUAAACCUCUUUUGUCGGGGAGCAAAAGCCGGACGUGUCCGGCUGUGAGAGUACCCGAAGAAAAAGCAUCGGCUAACUCCGUGCCAGCAGCCGCGGUAAUACGGGGGAUGCGAUGGUUAUCCGGAUUUAUUGGGUUUAAAGGGAGCGUAGGUGGGUGGUUCAGUUAGUUGUGAAAGUUGGCGGCUCAACCGUAACAUUGCAAUUGAUACUGGGAGUGUUGAGUACAGUUGAGGUAAGCGGAAGUCGUGGUGUAGCGGUGAAAUGCUUAGAUAUCACGAAGAACCCCGAUUGCGAAGGCAGCUUACUAAACUGUGACUGACAUUGAUGCUCGAAAGUGUGGGUAUCAAACAGGAGUAGAUACCCUUGUAGUC